This 253-nucleotide ribosomal RNA is filed under the name uncultured bacterium. RNAcentral's name for it is "partial 16S ribosomal RNA". It matches the Rfam family "Bacterial small subunit ribosomal RNA", at positions 524 to 776 of the family's 1533-position model. The record is from RNAcentral.
UACAGAGGUCUCAAGCGUUGUUCGGAUUCAUUGGGCGUAAAGGGCGCGUAGGCGGCUUGGUAAGUCGGGGGUGAAAGUCAGCGGCUCAACCGCUGGACUGCCUUCGAGACUGCCUGGCUUGAGCAUGGUAGAGGCUGGCGGAAUUCCCGGUGUAGCGGUGGAAUGCGUAGAGAUCGGGAAGAACAUCGGUGGCGAAGGCGGCCAGCUGGGCCAUUGCUGACGCUGAUGCGCGACAGCGUGGGGAGCAAACAGG